RNAcentral lists this ribosomal RNA (467 nucleotides) under uncultured bacterium. Its description in RNAcentral is "partial 16S ribosomal RNA". It matches the Rfam family "Bacterial small subunit ribosomal RNA", at positions 28 to 507 of the family's 1533-position model. The record is from RNAcentral.
GACGAACGCUGGCGGCGUGCUUAACACAUGCAAGUCGAACGGAAAGGCCCUGCUUUUGUGGGGUGCUCGAGUGGCGAACGGGUGAGUAACACGUGAGUAACCUGCCCUUGACUUUGGGAUAACUUCAGGAAACUGGGGCUAAUACCGGAUAGGAGCUCCUGCUGCAUGGUGGGGGUUGGAAAGUUUCGGCGGUUGGGGAUGGACUCGCGGCUUAUCAGCUUGUUGGUGGGGUAGUGGCUUACCAAGGCUUUGACGGGUAGCCGGCCUGAGAGGGUGACCGGCCACAUGGGGCCUGAGAUACGGCCCAGACUCUUACGGGAGGCAGCAGUGGGGAAUAUGGCCCAAUGGGCGAAAGCCUGAUGAAGCAACGCGGCGUGCGGAUGACGGCCUUCGGGUUGUAAACCGCUUUCGCCUGUGACGAAGCGUGAGUGACGGUAAUGGGUAAAGAAGCACCGGCUAACUACGUG